GGCUACAGCGUUGCGGUCCGGACAGAGCAAAAAAAACAAGGCAUCAGUAUUGUUGAGUAUUAGCUUGUACCUGGUUCGGAGGCUAAGCCCAGGCCCAAGUUGGGGGAGGGUGUCAUCUGGCCUGGUCCCGGACCCCGGAGUUUCAGGCCUGAGCGCUCGCACCACGGAGUUCUGGGGGAGACUUGGGGAGAUCAGGGCAGACUGGUCUUUCUGAAGCCUGAUCAGAGGUGGCGUUCACCAGUUCACCACGUCUCUCCUUUCCUCGUCGCACUUUCCAGAUCCCGGUCAGCCAGUCAGGGCACCGUGGUUUGGUGGAGUGAGAAGCGGGCGCGCCAGCGGUGGCUGCCGGGCUGAGCGCGGGCGCUGGAGUUUGGACCAAGACAAAGACGGGAGCUGUCCGCGGUGCUGAUCCCGCCGCGCCGCCAAGGGGCAAACGGGCUCUUGGAACCUGCCCUCUCCCUCUUUACCCCGUCCUUUUGUCUUUCCUUUAUUCUGUGAUUUUCUCCCUCUCCUACGUUUAUUUCCCCCCUUUUGUCUUUCCUUAGAACCCGAGCCCUGUACAGGUAUAUAUCAAAGAACAAAACAAUUGACUAAAAACGGUGUCUUCUCCUUUCUU
Molecule: long non-coding RNA, 616 nt
Filed under: Canis lupus familiaris (dog)
Lineage: Eukaryota; Metazoa; Chordata; Mammalia; Carnivora; Canidae
Description: lncRNA (ENSCAFG00845024262.1)
Source: RNAcentral